Nannospalax galili (Upper Galilee mountains blind mole rat) is the source of this 495-nucleotide long non-coding RNA. RefSeq lists it as uncharacterized. The record is from RefSeq and is a predicted model, not a curated record. Lineage: Eukaryota; Metazoa; Chordata; Mammalia; Rodentia; Spalacidae. The transcript is spliced from 3 exons.
CAGGAGCCCAGGGACAACCGCAGCCAUCCCAGAACCUCCACCCUUCAGCUCCCAGCCAUUGUGGAGUCCAAUGAGUAGCGCUCUGGAUGCUAAGAAUGAGAUUCAUGAGCUACAGGGUCAGGGAACCGCUUGUAAGACCAGGUUCAAUAACGGCCCAAUCAGAAUUCCGGAUGGCUUUGUUUACUUUCCAGAAAUCAAUCAAUGGAAUAGAAUUGAGAGUCUAAAAAUUGACCCAUGACUUUAUGGUUUUGCCUCUGUGACUUCAUACCUGAGCAUUCAGCCGAAGGUUUGCCAGAUUAUACUCAGAGCCAAAUACGAACCCACCCUCGGUUGAGAGAUCUGUGUUUGAACAAAGGAGCAGAUUUUAACCAUGGCCACCUUCAAGUCUCCUCUGGCUUUGACAUUGUGUGAAAAAUUGGCCUGGGGGCUGGAUGGAUGGCUCAGCAGUUAAGAGUGCUUUCUCUUCUUGCAGAGGACCCAGGUUUCUAGCACCCA